Molecule: transfer RNA, 76 nt
Filed under: Alphaproteobacteria bacterium
Lineage: Bacteria; Pseudomonadati; Pseudomonadota; Alphaproteobacteria
Description: tRNA-Lys
Rfam family: tRNA
About the family: Transfer RNA (tRNA) molecules are approximately 80 nucleotides in length.
Source: RNAcentral
GAGCGCUUAGCUCAGUCGGUAGAGCAUCUGACUUUUAAUCAGGGGGUCCCGGGUUCGAGCCCCGGAGCGCUCACCA